Molecule: long non-coding RNA, 3258 nt
Organism: Meriones unguiculatus (Mongolian gerbil)
Lineage: Eukaryota; Metazoa; Chordata; Mammalia; Rodentia; Muridae
Exons: 3
Source: RefSeq, a predicted model, not a curated record
UCCAGGAGUGAUAGCCUCUGAUUGCUGAAGACAGGUGGUCCUGGAAAUAUAAUAAUGACAGUUGUCAUGCACAUUUCAAUAACUGCAGAAUGAGAGGCAUUCUAUAUGUAAGGUAUCCUGAAGACCUGAGUCUCUGUGCUCAGUAUCUUCUAUGUUUUGUGGACAAGGAGUCUGAGGCUUAGCCUGAUUCAGAAGGUUAACCUCAGUCAUACUGUUGGUGUCAAAGGCAGAUUUAAACCUUGGUCCCUGGUUUAUAAUGUGACCUCCUGUCUCUAGGGUUCAAAAUAAAAUUGUAGUUUUAGUGUCACCAGAACUCUAUCAGGUUUGAGCACUUGAAAGGAUUGUAUUUCUCUUUAGUGAAAACCCAUGAGGCUGUCUGGAGCAGAGAAGCACAUGCUGUAAUCAGACCCCAGUGGAGUCUGGGUAUUGAGGAGGAAGAGCAGAGAGGAAGUUCUGCAUACCUAUUUGACCUAGCAUUGAGCAACAUCCUGAAUAUUUAUAUCUACCUGUCCUGUGCUUUGUUCAAGUGAAGUUGGCAGGAGCCCAGAAGAACUCUUCUAUUGUUUUCAGUCAAUAAGCUACACUGUAGACUGUGGCCACUUAUUGAAUUCCCGUUACACUCAACUUGCAUUUAUUUGACCUAGGAGGGUUUGUAGCAUGCUCUUGGCUCUAAUCUUUCUUUAGAGUUGCUGUGUGACUGACUCUCCGUCAGACUUAGUUAAAAAUUCUAAUGAUAUUGACUUUUUGGUAGACCCAAGGGGCUUAAGAACUGAUAGAAAAAGCAUAGGUUAAAAAACAACAACAACUGGCUACCAUAAAAAGCUAAAAUGUUAUGCUCAGGAUGCGAGGCUAAGCACUGCACUCAGGGUCAGCCGCUUUCGACCCAGAGAAGAGCAUGUCUGAUUGCAUGCGGGUUGAUGCCCCAGGUCCCGCCUCUGAGAAAAAGGUAUUGGUCGGGUCUGAUGCUUUUUAGGUGGAUGACACCUAAAUGAACAUCAGUACAAAGUCCCAAUUUAUUUCUAAUAUCAGAGAUCAGACCUCUACUCUUGCCUGAUGCUUCUAAAACCAAAAGGGGGAACUGUAGAGAGCUGCGUAAUGCCGCGCCUUAAAGAUGGAGCUGGUUUCUGCCUUCCACCUUCCCGAUGGUGAGUGCUCUCUGUCACAAACAACUCCAUAUUUGGCUAAGGCUGAGGAUCUGGCUUGCUUCCAUGUAUGUGGACCUAUCUGCAUUGCCCAUGUGGCACGCUGGGGUUGGCUACCCAGGGGCUAUUUAAGCUAUGGGAUGGCUUUCCCCAGGGUCAGAUGAUUGUUCAAGGUUCCUGAAUAAACUGCAUUGAAAAAAAAAAAAAAAAAAAGAAAGACAUGGAGAGGACAGGAGCUCCACAAGGAGAGCAACAGAAUAAAAAUUCUGGAAUUCUGAAAAAAAACAAAAACAACAUCAACAACAACAACAAAAAAAAAAACAGGAGGGUUAAUGUUUACUAAAUUCAAGACAUGAAUUGUAAAUUUAACAUCUCAUAGUAGUGAACAUAAUAAUGAAAUUAAUGGGCAUGUUUUCUGUCAUUCUCUCCAUCUCUCAAGCAUGUAAGAAUCCACUGUUUACAUGCAAUGGUGAUUAUUAAGUACUAGACAUAAUAGAGACACAUUAAUAACACAUGUUGGUCUUAAAUAAUAUAUGUAAAUCUUGACAAUGUCAUUCAGUUUGGGACAUAUAAAUCUUAAGUUUUUGCAAAAUUAGUGGUAUUUCCUUUUAAUAUCGUAUUUGCAUUUGUUUUAUAUGUGGUUGUGCCUAUUACCAUUGCUUAGCAUGAGCCUAGGUCACAUAAAUGCCCAAUAAGGCAUUUUUUUAACAAAAAGUUGACCCAUGUCUACUGCAUUUGUCCUUCUAAAUGAGGAUUGAGCAUCUUCCUUAGGGUCUUUCUUGUUUAGCUUCUUUAGGAGUGUAGAUUUUAGUAUGUUUAUCCUAUAUUAUAUGUCUAAUAGCCACUUGAGUGAGUAUAUACCACAUGUGUUUUUCUGUUUUUGGGUUACUGCUGUUUCUUGUUUCCAUCAUUUGCCUGCAAAUUUCAUGAUUUCCUUGUUUUUAAUAGGUGAGUAAGGACAAACAUGAUGCACAUUGGAAGCAGGAGAAGGCUAGAAUCAAAUAGAAGGGGAAGAGGAUCUCACCUUUCACUCAUAUCCAGUAUAUAUAAAGAACUAAAGAAGCUGAAAAGCAGCAAACCAAGUAAUCCACUUAAAAAAUGGGGAACAGAGCUAAACAGAGAAUUCUCUGUAGAGGAAUAUCGAAUGGCAGAGAAGCACUUAAAGAAAUGUUCAACCUCACUAGCCUAGAAAUGCAAAUCAAAACAACCCUGAGAUUUCACCUUACACCCAUGAGAAUGGCUAAGAUCAAAAACUCAAGUGACAACACAUGCUGGAGAGGUUGUGGAGAAAGGGGAACCCUUCUCCACUGCUGGUGGGAAUGUAAACUUGUACAACCACUCUGGAAAUCAAUCUGGCGCUUUCUCAGACAACUAGGAAUAGCGCUUCCUCAAGAUCCAGCCAUACCACUCCUGGGCAUAUAUCCAAAAGAGGCUCAAGUACACAAAAAGGACAUUUGCUCAACCAUGUUUGUAGCAGCUUUAUUUGUAAUAGCCAGAAGCUGGAAACAACCCAGAUGCCCCUCAACUGAAGAAUGGAUGCAGAAAUUGUGGUACAUGUACACAAUGAAAUAUUACUCAGCAAUGAAAAAUAAGGAAAUCAUGAAAUUUGCAGAUACUUUGCCUGCAUGUAUGUCUGAGCAUCUCAUGUAUGCUUCGUUCUCAUAGAAGACAGAAGAGGAUGUUGGAUUUUUGGGAACUAGAAUUACAGACAUUUGCAAGCUGUCAUGUGGGUGCUGGGAAUUGAAUCCAGUCCUCUGGAAGAGCAGCUAAGGAUAUUAACCACUGAUCCAUCUCUCCAGCCCCAAAUUGUUGCUACCUUAAAAAGUAGUGUUGCAGUAAAUGGUUUUAAUGUAUUUUAAAACAAACAUGAGGAUGUAUACAUUCUCAGUAUUACUGUAUAAAUAACUUCUGUAAGUCUAAACACAUUUUCCAACACAUGUGUCACUGAUGUAAACAUGUCUGGUAUUUCUCUUUUCAUAUUGUCCUUAGAAUCUAUUAAUGGGCUAAAAUUUUAAAACUAGACUUAUUUUUAUGGCAUAUCUUGGCAUGAGCUACACAUCAUUCAUUCAUCAUAUUUUCAUUCUUUAAUAAAAUCAAUUUUUUUCUUAAGUACCAA